GGGUUGUGAGGUUAAGCGACUAAGCGUACACGGUGGAUGCCCUGGCAGUCAGAGGCGAUGAAGGGCGUGCUAAUCUGCGAUAAGCGCCGGUAAGGUGAUAUGAACCGUUAUAACCGGCGAUACCCGAAUGGGGAAACCCAGUGUGAUUCGUCACACUAUCAUUAACUGAAUCCAUAGGUUAAUGAGGCGAACCGGGGGAACUGAAACAUCUAAGUACCCCGAGGAAAAGAAAUCAACCGAGAUUCCCCCAGUAGCGGCGAGCGAACGGGGAGGAGCCCAGAGCCUGAAUCAGCAUGUGUGUUAGUGGAAGCGUCUGGAAAGGCGCGCGAUACAGGGUGACAGCCCCGUACACAAAAGCGCAUGUGCUGUGAGCUCGAUGAGUAGGGCGGGACACGUGGUAUCCUGUCUGAAUAUGGGGGGACCAUCCUCCAAGGCUAAAUACUCCUGACUGACCGAUAGUGAACCAGUACCGUGAGGGAAAGGCGAAAAGAACCCCGGCGAGGGGAGUGAAAAAGAACCUGAAACCGUGUACGUACAAGCAGUGGGAGCACCCUU
Molecule: ribosomal RNA, 555 nt
Filed under: Salmonella enterica
Lineage: Bacteria; Pseudomonadati; Pseudomonadota; Gammaproteobacteria; Enterobacterales; Enterobacteriaceae
Also listed under: 1 other name
Description: partial 23S ribosomal RNA
Rfam family: Bacterial large subunit ribosomal RNA
Source: RNAcentral